This is a long non-coding RNA of Amphibalanus amphitrite, 91 nucleotides long. RefSeq lists it as uncharacterized. The transcript is spliced from 2 exons. The record is from RefSeq and is a predicted model, not a curated record. NCBI's taxonomy places the organism in Eukaryota, Metazoa, Arthropoda, Thecostraca, Balanomorpha, Balanidae.
GUUGAGGCUGGUGGUAUGUGGUGGUGUCUGCGCCAGAGCCGCAACGAUUGCGUGCGGAGGGCCACACGGUCCAAUACACCGAUCCGUGACG